UACGGAGGGUGCGAGCGUUGUCCGGAAUCACUGGGCGUAAAGGGCGCGUAGGUGGCCUGUGGAAGUCUGCGGUGAAAGCCCGGCGCUCAACGCCGGGUCUGCCGUGGAUACUCUCGGGCUUGAGCUACUAGAGGCAGAUGGAAUUCCGGGUGUAGCGGUGGAAUGCGUAGAGAUCCGGAAGAACACCGGUGGCGAAGGCGGUCUGCUGGGGUAAUGCUGACACUGGAGGCGCGACAGCGUGGGGAGCAAACAGG
Molecule: ribosomal RNA, 254 nt
Filed under: uncultured bacterium
Lineage: Bacteria
Description: partial 16S ribosomal RNA
Rfam family: Bacterial small subunit ribosomal RNA
Source: RNAcentral